UACGUAGGGGGCGAGCGUUGUCCGGAAUCAUUGGGCGUAAAGCGCGUGUAGGCGGCCCGAUCAGUCCGCUGUGAAAGUCCAGGGCUCAACCCUGGGAUGCCGGUGGAUACUGUCGGGCUCGAGUCCGGAAGAGGCGAGUGGAAUUCCUGGUGUAGCGGUGAAAUGCGCAGAUAUCAGGAGGAACACCAAUGGCGAAGGCAGCUCGCUGGGACGUGACUGACGCUGAGACGCGAAAGCGUGGGGAGCAAACAGG
RNAcentral lists this ribosomal RNA (253 nucleotides) under uncultured bacterium. Its description in RNAcentral is "partial 16S ribosomal RNA". It matches the Rfam family "Bacterial small subunit ribosomal RNA", at positions 524 to 776 of the family's 1533-position model. The record is from RNAcentral.